AUUGAACGCUGGCGGCAGGCUUAACACAUGCAAGUCGAGCGGGGUGAUGGUGCUUGCACUAUCACUUAGCGGCGGACGGGUGAGUAAUGCUUAGGAAUCUGCCUAUUAGUGGGGGACAACAUCUCGAAAGGGAUGCUAAUACCGCAUACGUCCUACGGGAGAAAGCAGGGGAUCACUUGUGACCUUGCGCUAAUAGAUGAGCCUAAGUUGGAUUAGCUAGUUGGUGGGGUAAAGGCCUACCAAGGCGACGAUCUGUAGCGGGUCUGAGAGGAGUAUCCGCCACACUGGGACUGAGACACCGCCCAGACUCCUACGGGAGGCAGCAGUUGGGAAUAUUGGACAAUGGGGGGAACCCUGAGCCAGCCAUGCCGCGUGUGUGAAGAAGGCCUUAUGGUUGUAAAGCACUUUAAGCGAGGAGGAGGCUCUUUUGGUUAAUACCCAAGAUGAGUGGACGUUACUCGCAGAAUAAGCACCGGCUAACUCUGUGCCAGCCGCCGCCGUAA
Molecule: ribosomal RNA, 503 nt
Filed under: uncultured bacterium
Lineage: Bacteria
Description: partial 16S ribosomal RNA
Rfam family: Bacterial small subunit ribosomal RNA
Source: RNAcentral